GGCCCAUUAGUCUAGGGGUCGAGGACGUUGGAUUUUGAUUACGUAAUCAAAAUAGCUUCCAAAGACGCCAGUUCGAAUCUGGCAUGGGCCU
This 91-nucleotide transfer RNA is filed under the name Purpureocillium lilacinum. It matches the Rfam family "tRNA". Rfam says of the family: Transfer RNA (tRNA) molecules are approximately 80 nucleotides in length. Their secondary structure includes four short double-helical elements and three loops (D, anti-codon, and T loops). Lineage: Eukaryota; Fungi; Ascomycota; Sordariomycetes; Hypocreales; Ophiocordycipitaceae. The record is from Rfam by way of RNAcentral.